This is a long non-coding RNA of Notothenia coriiceps (black rockcod), 380 nucleotides long. RefSeq lists it as uncharacterized. The transcript is spliced from 5 exons. The record is from RefSeq and is a predicted model, not a curated record. Lineage: Eukaryota; Metazoa; Chordata; Actinopteri; Perciformes; Nototheniidae.
GCAUAGACUGUAAAGGUGUUCCCACUUAAACAGUAAUUAACACAGCCUUGAGGAUCCUUUAAAAGAAGCUUCUUUGGAUUCUGAAGACAUUGUGGAAAGCUGCUUGUUGGAGACGCUUGUUGCAGUUAGCAGUUGCUUGAAGAAAUCACACAGCAUACAUAUCCUGAAUGUACCUGGAUCUCUAACUAAAAUCAUGAUGUUGUGGAUUUCCUGCAUGCUUAUUGGCUACAUAACCUGUCGUCCUAUACAACAAGAAAAUGCUGCUCCACGCUUCAUGCAUUGGCCACCCCCUUCUAGCGAUCGGUAUUGGGGAAGAAGGGCCAGUUCUGACCCGGGCAGCAGCUCCUAUCUACCAACCAGUGUACCGCUACCGAGAUCUA